This 964-nucleotide long non-coding RNA is filed under the name Felis catus (domestic cat). Its description in RNAcentral is "lncRNA (ENSFCAG00000047119.1)". The record is from RNAcentral. Lineage: Eukaryota; Metazoa; Chordata; Mammalia; Carnivora; Felidae.
UAAAUAAAUACAUUUAAAUUAAAAAAAAAUUUUUAUGACCUUAAGGCUUUAAAAUGUGAAUACUUUUCUUCUAGAUGGACUUAUCAUUAUAAUAAUUCAUACACACUGGAUCAGAAAACAUGCAUUUAUUACAAACUGUGAUAAAUUAUCAUACACAGAAGUAAAAAUUGAAAAGUUUACUUAUUUAUUUUGAGAGAGAAGGAGGGGGAGAGAGCAGGGGAGAGGCAGAGAGAGAGAGAGAGAGAGAGAGAGAGGGAGAGGGAGAGAGAGAAUCCAAAGCAGGCUCUGCACUAGCACAGAGCCCGACCUGCGGUUUGAUCCCAUAAACUGUAAGAUCAUGACCUAAGCCGAAAUCAAGAGUCAGACACUCAACCCAGUGAGCCACCUCAGGGGCCCCACAUAAGUAAAAUUUUUAUUGAAAAUGCAUUCCAUAAUGAAAUGUAUUAGGGGAGAUGGUUAAGAUGCCUUUUGCUUAAAAGAACAUUCAUUUUAUCUCAUUUUUCAGUUACCCAGUUUGGCCCUUUGGGAAAACGGACCGGGGUAAGACUGGCCAUGUAUUGUGAAAGGCGCCGUUCACGGAAACCAACGUUAAGAACGUGUGCCUAGAGAAGUUGAGGGUUGAUAAUCUGCCUCACACUUCUCAGAGUGUCUUCGUGUUAUCCUUCGGGGUGUCCAUAGCCUGCUUUGAAGACCAGUGUCUUUCACUGUGGGAAAUGUGGCCGAGAUGUAUUUCAGCAAAAUAUCACUUUCCACUUUCAGGAGCCUCUCAUUUUGGGAAAGACGGAUACCAGAACAAGCCUUGGUCUACUCUGCAGACUUGGGAUGCUUACCGUGGCAGUUAGGCGUGUUCUUGUUAAGAGCUUGUUCGGAGUGGGAACACGGGUAGCUCUGGGAGCCCUGCUGACCAUUAUCUUCCCAUUCAGGUCUGUAUUGUGGAAGCUGCUCUCUAUUUUCUCAUGUAGAG